This 400-nucleotide RNase P RNA is filed under the name [Eubacterium] siraeum. RNAcentral describes it as "RNase P RNA component class A". It matches the Rfam family "Bacterial RNase P class A". Rfam says of the family: Ribonuclease P (RNase P) is a ubiquitous endoribonuclease, found in archaea, bacteria and eukarya as well as chloroplasts and mitochondria. Its best characterised activity is the generation of mature 5'-ends of tRNAs by cleaving the 5'-leader elements of precursor-tRNAs. Cellular RNase Ps are ribonucleoproteins. The record is from RNAcentral. Lineage: Bacteria; Bacillati; Bacillota; Clostridia; Eubacteriales; Oscillospiraceae. RNAcentral also lists the same sequence under 1 other name.
UAACCUCAUUGUGCGAACGCGGGGAGAGAUCCGUGAGGAAAGUCCGAGCAUCACAGAGCAGGAUAGCUGUUAACGGCAGCCGAGGGCGACCUUAGGGCAAGUGCAACAGAGAUAUACCGCAUUGCGUACCGCAAUGUAAGGGUGGAAAGGCGAGGUAAGAGCUCACCGGAGCGCAGGAGACUGCGCUGCCAUGUAAACCCUAUCCGAUGCAACGUCAAUUGGUACGGAGAGAAAUGCGUCUGCUCGGCGCACUCCGAUAUAGGCGGCUGGAGCUUACAGGCGACUGUAAUACUGAUUUCAGCUUAAAAUAUAGCUUCGUCUAUCUUUUAAAGCGAAAACAGUGUAAGCGUAGAUAAAUGUUCGCACACGACAGAACUCGGCUUACAGAUGAGGUUAUGAU